UAGUCCACGCCGUAAACGAUGACAACUAGCUGUUGGGAGACUAUGUCUUUCAGUGGCGCAGCUAACGCUUUAAGUUGUCCGCCUGGGGAGUACGGCCGCAAGGCUAAAACUCAAAUGAAUUGACGGGGGCCCGCACAAGCAGUGGAGCAUGUGGUUUAAUUCGAUGCAACGCGAAGAACCUUACCAGGCCUUGACAUCCCCGGAACUUUCUAGAGAUAGAUUGGUGCCUUCGGGAACCGGGUGACAGGUGCUGCAUGGCUGUCGUCAGCUCGUGUCGUGAGAUGUUGGGUUAAGUCCCGUAACGAGCGAAACCCUUAUUGUUAGUUGCCAGCGGGUAAUGCCGGGGACUCUAAGAAGACUGCCAGCGCAAGCUGAGAGGAAGGUGGGGAUGACGUCAAAUCAUCACGGGCCCUUACGUCCUGGGGCUACACACGUGCUACAAUGGGUAGAGACAGAGGGGCAGCCACCUGGGUG
This 474-nucleotide ribosomal RNA is filed under the name uncultured bacterium. RNAcentral describes it as "bacterial SSU rRNA". It matches the Rfam family "Bacterial small subunit ribosomal RNA", at positions 791 to 1263 of the family's 1533-position model. The record is from RNAcentral.